GCUCCCUACCCCCGAAUCCUCUCUCUCCCUCCCCUCUGUCCUCGCGGCCAGUCCCCAAGGCGAGGCCCCACCGCUCCACGCCAGCUUCUCCCACACCUGGCAGCAGACAGCAGGGGCCCCGGAGCCGGUCCCUGGCACCGCCGUGCGGUUCCUGCAGGCUCUACGGGUGCCUCCCAGACUUAGCGCCGUGCGGGGACCCGGACCUCCGCGACCAGAGAGCGCGCUGCUCCACGGACUCGCCGGCCCGAGGAGGGUCCCGCGCCCCCCGCACCCACUCGGGACAGCCCGCUCGGGUCUGCACCGCAGGUAGGAAGUAUCCGAAGAGCUCGGCUGCCCGGGACUCAUGCACACUCUCCCGGGUUGCCCAGCCACCCUCGCCCGCACCCGCGUCGGCGCUGCGCCCCUCUCCGGCUCGGCUCGGGGCAGCCUGACUCACCGCUGCGCUCCCCUCCGGCUCCCAGCGCGCUGUGC
This 471-nucleotide long non-coding RNA is filed under the name Dasypus novemcinctus (nine-banded armadillo). RNAcentral describes it as "lncRNA (ENSDNOG00000051438.1)". Lineage: Eukaryota; Metazoa; Chordata; Mammalia; Cingulata; Dasypodidae. The record is from RNAcentral.